Non-coding RNA from Camelina sativa (false flax), 156 nucleotides. NCBI's taxonomy places the organism in Eukaryota, Viridiplantae, Streptophyta, Magnoliopsida, Brassicales, Brassicaceae. The record is from RefSeq and is a predicted model, not a curated record.
UUGUACAGCAAGAAGAUAUCAAGAGCUACAUUGACAACUCUCUUAAAACUGGCGUUCAUCUGUCAGUUUUCCGCAAAGAUCGCGUUGGGGGUGAUUCACAUGGAGUUAAUUUUUGGUAUGAGGAUGAUCCCUUAAUUGGUCACCGUUUAUAUCGGG